UAAAAAAAUAUUAGAAGUGAAAAGUUACAGCGCUAAAAGUGAAAUUUUUCCCCUCCCAAUCUAUCAAAACCCCAAUUGUACGAUUCUUGAAAAGUUGAAACAAAUUUUGUCUUGUGUAUCUUCUCCCAAACCCUAACCCUUUCUUCCUUCUCUUUCUUCUCAAACCCUUCAACUUGCAUACAGAGGGACGAUUUAGGGUUUUAUGGAAAGGUUUGAAGUAAGUCUCUCGCCGAUGGAAAAGCUAAACAUUCCGGUACAUGCUCAUUUUUGCAUAUCUAUUUUCUCUUGGAUCCUUCAUUCUUCGUCUUUGUCAUGAUGAAAAGGACAUGGAUGAACUUGUUAGAAGCUUCCAAAAUGAGAUUAAGAAGUACUACAUUCAAAUGCAAACAACUAAGAGAAGACAAGCACCUCAUCCUUCACAGUUGAAGAUGAUAGAAUUAUUAUCGACAAAACAUUAGCUGAUCAAGUGUCAUCAUGGAAAAGCAGCAGGAGCCUCUGAUUGAUCAUGCUUGUUCUAGGAAGGCAUGCUCAUACUACCAAAUUGGAGAUGUAUUUAUUUGUCAGAAGAUCGGACAAGCUCAUGGUGUGAAAUAUCAUUUAUAUGCUUUAAUUUGAUUACAAUUUUCAACGUUGAAUUUUAAAUCCUUUGGUCUGGCAUAAGUCUUUAAUGUUGCUCAUGCAUCUCGUUUGCCUCUUGAUCAUUCUACUUUUAAAACUAUAGUUCUUACAGUUGCGCAUGCAUCUCAAUAAGACGGUGCGGCGCUUCUGUUAGAUUUUAACAGCACAAGCUUAUUUGCUGCGAUACAAUUGGGCUGAUGAAUAAGAUCUUGAAGAUUCCAAGUGACUAAAAUGGUACAGAUUCUUGUGUUUCCAAAAGGCCGAUUCGAUGGGAACUUUUUUCUUUCUUGAAUGCAGCAUCUGCAGAAACAGGAAACUUCAACGAAUUGAAUUGAGAUUACAAUACUGUGCAGAUUAGGCGCAAGCAAUGGUUGAUGCAGUCUGUUUAGUCACAACAUUAUCAACCGUUGGAUUCAACAUGGCUGAAUUUAGUGAAUGGUAAAGCCUAUUUUUUUAGUUUGACUUUUUGAGGUAAGCAUUUAUAAAUUUAUAAUUAUAAUAGUAAUCUAUUCACCGCUUGUGGUAAAAUGUGGUUAAUAAUCUAUACUUUUUACUUAAAUUUUUUUAUUUCUAUUACCACUCGAAAUGUAAUCUCUUUGGUCUGCUUCAUGUUGGUAUGAGGAAUACUAGAGUUAUCUCCUUCUGCUAGUGGAAUAUGUGUAUUCUAUGAAGAGUCUAUGCUGAAUUACAAGUUUUCACAUUCAGGCCUAAUUUCUCAUUCAAGUUUAAACUAUACGAAAUUUCUCAUUCUUCCUUUACUAUAUGGGACGCAUCCUUAAAAUUUUAGAAACGCCCCAGAGUGAAUUUAGAGAUGCAUCUCCAAACGUAUCAUUCAUGAAUUAGGAACAAAUUGUAAACACUAUUUGAUUUUUUUUUUUUAAAUUUUUAGUUGUAUUUUCAGAUUUUAUAAUUUUAUUUUAAUCGUUUUUCUAUUUUUCAAUUGUUUUUCUCAAUAGAGAAAUUGUUGGUAUUUACAUAUUUGUUGUAUUGUUGAUGCAUGGCU
Molecule: long non-coding RNA, 1621 nt
Organism: Vicia villosa (hairy vetch)
Lineage: Eukaryota; Viridiplantae; Streptophyta; Magnoliopsida; Fabales; Fabaceae
Exons: 4
Source: RefSeq, a predicted model, not a curated record